Mesocricetus auratus (golden hamster) is the source of this 760-nucleotide long non-coding RNA. RefSeq lists it as uncharacterized. The transcript is spliced from 2 exons. NCBI's taxonomy places the organism in Eukaryota, Metazoa, Chordata, Mammalia, Rodentia, Cricetidae. The record is from RefSeq and is a predicted model, not a curated record.
GGAUUUAGAAACACCACAGAGGUACAUAUUUGGAUGUGUGAUGAGGAUGUUUCCCCUGGUGGUUGCUCAGUCAACAAUGAUGGCUUCUCCAACAGUCUCAGUCUGACAUGGUUGUAAAGUAAUCUGGAGAAUGAAAGUUUAAGUAUUUCUCUUCUAUAUGAGUUUUGAAAAAGAGCUGCACUUAAGCUAUACAGAAGUGGUAAAAGAACACUCACUGAGGAUAUGGCCCAUGCAGGAGAUCUGAAGGCAAGGCAAACUGAGGAGAGCUGAUUGGGAAUGGAGGAAAUACCCAUCACUGAGAAGUUUAGCUUUGCUGUGGUAUGGGUCUGCUGACUCAUGUUUACCAGAGUUAUUCCUUUGUCUGGAAAAGUGGAAGGAUUUUUUGUGAAACAGCCAUUUGAGCAAAGGCAACUAACUUCUUUAAAAACAGGAGAAAUCAAAAUAUUGUAUGGAGCAAAUAAUACAGCAAUGAAGCCCAUUUUGGGUUAUAAAUCAUUUGGACAGACAGAUACCAUGGUGAAUUCACUAAACAAAAAGUAUCAUUGCAAAUAUACUCCAUGUGUAAUUAUUUCAUGUCUACAUCUUUGGGGAGAAUUUUAGCUUUCUGAUACAUUUUUUCCUAUUCUAUUUCUUGAUUGACACCCCGUUUCUAGAUAUCUAUUAUUCAAGAAAUGAUAUUAAAUAUUGAAAUUUUAACAAUACGUUAUAUACAGAGCUAUGUGGUACACAUUUAAAACUAUUAAAACAAUUGUACAUGCCA